CUUUAAGUUUUGUUACAAGAAGAAACUAAUAAUGCCCAGUUCGUUGAAGACGUUGUGCACGCCGUGGUGUCGAAAUGUGGCGUUGCGGCAAAUCUUGCCCGUACUAUUUUCACAAACAAAACGUGCAGAUGAGAGCAAAAUGCAUCGCACACGACAAAAUAAAAAGAUCAAACGAAAAAUUCGCGAGAAUAGAGGCCUCUUCCGACGACAGAAACUGACACAACUAUAGUGUACCUUACAUCCUGAAGAACCAAAAUUCGCGUCGCGGAAAUUUGUCCUAGGUUAAAAGUGGCGGCAGUGAAGAUCGGUUGAGGACUUGAGGUUGAGCCAGUAGGCAGAUUUCCCACACGAGCUAAUGCAUUGGUACCAACGAGAUGGGGAUAUGCCAAGGUCUCGGUUACUCAAGAGCAUCCGUUGGACUAAUGUUGGACACCAGAAACAUACACUAGCGCCACAAGAAAGCUGAUGGCAGUGUUUUCAUAAAGGUAAAUAAUGGUACAUUUAAGUUUGAAAAAGGUUCAGAGAAAAAUAUAAAAAAAGCAGUUUUUAUUACAGCAUUGUAGGUUUAGAUAAAGUUCUAAAAAUAAUUUGAAGCGUUGUUGCAACAUAUUCAUUGACGGGAAAGCCUGCUCCAGCGUUCCCGUCCAGGAGAGCUAAGAAGAAGCUAAAUGCCCGGUUUGUUGAAGACAUUGUGCUCACAGUGGUAUCGAAAUGUUGCGUUGCGGCAAAUCGGUUAAAAUGUUAUUUAUUUGGAACCGGCAAAUGAAGACCU
Molecule: long non-coding RNA, 772 nt
Organism: Plodia interpunctella (Indianmeal moth)
Lineage: Eukaryota; Metazoa; Arthropoda; Insecta; Lepidoptera; Pyralidae
Exons: 5
Source: RefSeq, a predicted model, not a curated record